Molecule: unclassified non-coding RNA, 334 nt
Filed under: soil metagenome
Description: partial contains 5.8S ribosomal RNA, internal transcribed spacer 2, and large subunit ribosomal RNA
Rfam family: 5.8S ribosomal RNA (bases 1-120)
Source: RNAcentral
GAUGAAGAACGUAGCGAAAUGCGAUAAGUAAUGUGAAUUGCAGAAUCCAGUGAAUCAUCGAAUCUUUGAACGCACAUUGCGCCCGCCAGUAUUCUGGCGGGCAUGCCUGUCCGAGCGUCAUUUCAACCAUCAAGCCCCAGGCUUGUGUUGGGGACCUGCGUCCGACGCAGGCCCUGAAAACCAGUGGCGGGCUCGCUGUCCACACCGAGCGUAGUAACUAACCUCGCUACGGGAGCGGCGCGGGCGCCUGCCGUAAAACCCCCAAUUUUCACAAGGUUGACCUCGGAUCAGGUAGGAAUACCCGCUGAACUUAAGCAUAUCAAUAAGCGGAGGA